This 454-nucleotide ribosomal RNA is filed under the name uncultured bacterium. Its description in RNAcentral is "partial 16S ribosomal RNA". It matches the Rfam family "Bacterial small subunit ribosomal RNA", at positions 28 to 507 of the family's 1533-position model. The record is from RNAcentral.
GAUGAACGCUGACAGAAUGCUUAACACAUGCAAGUCAACUUGAACUUCGGUUUGGGUGGCGGACGGGUGAGUAACGCGUAAAGAACUUGCCUCACAGCUAGGGACAACAUUUGGAAACGAAUGCUAAUACCUGAUAUUAUGAUUUUAGGGCAUCCUAGAAUUAUGAAAGCUAUAUGCGCUGUGAGAGAGCUUUGCGUCCCAUUAGCUAGUUGGAGAGGUAACGGCUCACCAAGGCGAUGAUGGGUAGCCGGCCUGAGAGGGUGAACGGCCACAAGGGGACUGAGACAUGGCCCUUACUCCUACGGGAGGCAGCAGUGGGGAAUAUUGGACAAUGGACCAAGAGUCUGAUCCAGCAAUUCUGUGUGCACGAUGAAGUUUUUCGGAAUGUAAAGUGCUUUCAGUUGGGAAGAAAAAAAUGACGGUACCAACAGAAGAAGUGACGGCUAAAUACGUG